AGAGUUUGAUCAUGGCUCAGAUUGAACGCUGGCGGUAUGCUUAACACAUGCAAGUCGAACGGUAACAGUCCCUCACCUAGAAAUUUCUUAAAAAGAGAUUUGUAGGUGAGGGAGCUGACGAGUGGCGGACGGGUGCGUAAUGUAUAGGAAUCUGCCUAGUAGUGGGGGACAACUCGGAGAAAUUCGAGCUAAUACCGCAUAAGCCCUCCGGGGGAAAACGGGGGAUCUUCGGACCUCGUGCUAUUAGAUGAGCCUAUAUUAGAUUAGCUUGUUGGUGAGGCAAUGGCUCACCAAGGCGACGAUCUAUAGCUGGUCUGAGAGGAUGAUCAGCCACACUGGGACUGAGACACGGCCCAGACUCCUACGGGAGGCAGCAGUGGGGAAUAUUGGACAAUGGGCGAAAGCCUGAUCCAGCAAUACCGCGUGUGUGAAGAAGGCCUGAGGGUUGUAAAGCACUUUCAAUUGGGAGGAAUACCUAAUAGUUAAUAGCUAUUAGAUUGACA
Molecule: ribosomal RNA, 503 nt
Filed under: uncultured bacterium
Lineage: Bacteria
Description: bacterial SSU rRNA
Rfam family: Bacterial small subunit ribosomal RNA
Source: RNAcentral